GACGAACGCUGGCGGCGUGCCUAAUACAUGCGAGCAGAACGCACAGUUUAUACCGUAGCUUGCUACACCAUAGACUGUGAGUUGCGAACGGGUGAGUAACGCGUAGGUAACCUGCCUGGUAGCGGGGGAUAACUAUUGGAAACGAUAGCUAAUACCGCAUAAUAUUGAUUAUUGCAUGAUAAUUGAUUGAAAGAUGCUAUUGCAUCACUACCAGAUGGACCUGCGUUGUAUUAGCUAGUAGGUGAGGUAACGGCUCACCUAGGCGACGAUACAUAGCCGACCUGAGAGGGUGAUCGGCCACACUGGGACUGAGACACGGCCCAGACUCCUACGGGAGGCAGCAGUAGGGAAUCUUCGGCAAUGGACGAAAGUCUGACCGAGCAACGCCGCGUGAGUGAAGAAGGUUUUCGGAUCGUAAAGCUCUGUUGUAAGAGAAGAACGGGUGUGAGAGUGGAAAGUUCACACUGUGACGGUAUCUUACCAGAAAGGGACGGCUAACUACGUG
This 505-nucleotide ribosomal RNA is filed under the name uncultured bacterium. RNAcentral's name for it is "partial 16S ribosomal RNA". It matches the Rfam family "Bacterial small subunit ribosomal RNA", at positions 28 to 507 of the family's 1533-position model. The record is from RNAcentral.